AGUGAACGCUGGCGGUAGGCCUAACACAUGCAAGUCGAACGGCAGCACAGUAAGAGCUUGCUCUUACGGGUGGCGAGUGGCGGACGGGUGAGGAAUAAAUCGGAAUCUACUUUUUCGUGGGGGAGAACGUAGGGAAACUUACGCUAAUACCGCAUACGACCUACGGGUGAAAGCAGGGGAUCUUCGGACCUUGCGCGAUUGAAUGAGCCGAUGUCGGAUUAGCUAGUUGGCGGGGUAAAGGCCCACCAAGGCGACGAUCCGUAGCUGGUCUGAGAGGAUGAUCAGCCACACUGGAACUGAGACACGGUCCAGACUCCUACGGGAGGCAGCAGUGGGGAAUAUUGGACAAUGGGCGCAAGCCUGAUCCAGCCAUACCGCGUGGGUGAAGAAGGCCUUCGGGUUGUAAAGCCCUUUUGUUGGGAAAGAAAAGCAGCAGGUUAAUACCCCGCUGUUCUGACGGUACCCAAAGAAUAAGCACCGGCUAACUUCGUG
This 492-nucleotide ribosomal RNA is filed under the name uncultured bacterium. RNAcentral's name for it is "partial 16S ribosomal RNA". It matches the Rfam family "Bacterial small subunit ribosomal RNA", at positions 29 to 507 of the family's 1533-position model. The record is from RNAcentral.